UGAAGGAAGCUAAUAGUGGGUUCCCCUCUUGCGUGACUCUUCUUCCUACUCUUCUGUUUGCUUCACUUCGAAGCUCUUGAGCUUCACGUAUCCUGACUGUUCCUUCUCCUCGUUCAUCGAGAUAAAACAGGAAUUGGACAAUCUCCGAGGAAAUGGAAGGAUCGGCUCUACCAUGCUUAAGGUGUCAGGGGCUCAGCUCUACCCCUUUGACAGAGGAUGCCUCUACCUUCUGCACUUCCCUCACCGAGGACCUCAAGGGGCUCGAGCUGUCGCUGGCGAAGGACUCCAUCUCCCUCAGGUGGUUCGUCGAAGCGAUGAGCGUCUUGAAGAGGAUGCAGGUGAGACUCCUUGCCCUGCUGAAGAAAUCUGAGUUGCCGAUCUCGUGCGAAGCCGAAGACUGGUUUGAUCAGUACAUGCAAGAGUCUGCGUCUCUAUUAGAUUUCUGCAACUCAAUGAAGUCUGCCCUUUCCGGGAUCAACCGGUCUCGCAUGGCUUUAAAGCUCGCAGUCCAUAAACUAAGCGAAGACAACGAGUUCGGAUUGGAAAGAUUACAGAAAGCCCAUGAGGAAAUUUUAGAUUUCAGUAUAGAGAAGGAAAGAUUAGGACUAGCUAAAGGUGGAAUUUUGCUCGGAGGAAAUGGAAGAGAUGACAAGAACAUGGCAAUCGUGAUGUUUGCUGCUAAAACCACUGUGACAGUCUUGUCAUGGUUUAUGAUUUCAGCAAUGAUUUCUCCUGUUCCGGUUAAUAUGGAAGACAAGGAGCUGACUUCAUCGAUCCCUGAGCUACAGCAGUGCAUGGAGAUGCUGACACGGAUUUCGAGCCUCGGCAUCGGUCGGGAAGUUGCUCUGGUCGAGCAUGAGAUGGUGAACGAGGCAGUCGAGGAGUUACAGGCGGCGGAGAAGAACAGCCAUAGUUUCCUCAGUGGUCUGGAGAAGUUGAGAACAAGGUCAUUUGAGCUGAAGGAGGGGAUCGAGAGGCUCGGCACAGUAGUGGAUGAGGUGUUCGAGGAGGCCAUCAGAGGAAGGAAUGAGAUGCUGGACAUCUUCAGGAAUGCAACUCUUUGAUUCCUGGUGGAAACCAUGCAUUCUACUGCAAUGGAAGAGCUAGUUUUCAGUCUUCUUGUUCUAUGAUAAUGUAAACUACAGUGGAUCAGCACAGCCAUGUAUGUACAAAAAAUACAGCUUUUUUCCAUUUGUUUUGCAUUGUAAAAGAUGGCACUUUUUUCAGCGCAGCAACGGCGCCGGCGUCGGAGUGGGUGGCGGAGCUGCCGCGGCGUCAGCCAGAAAGGCCAUGUGUUUGUUGUCUGCUUCUUUUUGGUCCCACGAUAUCAGCGCCUUCAAUUUCUGCCCUUUUGUGGGCCCAACUGUGAGUUCAUGAUCCUCCAAUCAUAAGGCAGAAGAUCUUUCGAACAUCGUAUCCCUCUCCGCCGUGCGCCGACCACCGUCCACCGUCCACCGGCCACCGGGGCUGCCGCACCGAUCAGGAUAU
Non-coding RNA from Musa acuminata subsp. malaccensis (wild Malaysian banana), 1488 nucleotides. NCBI's taxonomy places the organism in Eukaryota, Viridiplantae, Streptophyta, Magnoliopsida, Zingiberales, Musaceae. The record is from RefSeq and is a predicted model, not a curated record.